GACGAACGCUGGCGGCGUGCCUAAUACAUGCAAGUAGAACGCUGAAGCGAGGAGCUUGCUCUUCUUGGAUGAGUUGCGAACGGGUGAGUAACGCGUAGGUAACCUGCCUUGUAGCGGGGGAUAACUAUUGGAAACGAUAGCUAAUACCGCAUAACAAUGGAUGACACAUGUCAUUUAUUUGAAAGGGGCAAUUGCUCCACUACAAGAUGGACCUGCGUUGUAUUAGCUAGUAGGUGAGGUAAUGGCUCACCUAGGCGACGAUACAUAGCCGACCUGAGAGGGUGAUCGGCCACACUGGGACUGAGACACGGCCCAGACUCCUACGGGAGGCAGCAGUAGGGAAUCUUCGGCAAUGGGGGCAACCCUGACCGAGCAACGCCGCGUGAGUGAAGAAGGGUUUCGGAUCGUAAAGCUCGGUUGUAAGUCAAGAACGGGUGUGAGAGUGGAAAGUUCACACUGUGACGGUAGCUUACCAGAAAGGGACGGCUAACUACGUG
This 497-nucleotide ribosomal RNA is filed under the name uncultured bacterium. RNAcentral's name for it is "partial 16S ribosomal RNA". It matches the Rfam family "Bacterial small subunit ribosomal RNA", at positions 28 to 507 of the family's 1533-position model. The record is from RNAcentral.